Molecule: ribosomal RNA, 404 nt
Filed under: uncultured bacterium
Lineage: Bacteria
Description: bacterial SSU rRNA
Rfam family: Bacterial small subunit ribosomal RNA
Source: RNAcentral
UGGGGAAUAUUGCACAAUGGGGGAAACCCUGAUGCAGCGACGCCGCGUGGAGGAAGAAGGUCUUCGGAUUGUAAACUCCUGUUGUUGAGGAAAAAGAGGAUGGUACUCAACAAGGAAGUGACGGCUAACUACGUGCCAGCAGCCGCGGUAAAACGUAGGUCACAAGCGUUGUCCGGAAUUACUGGGUGUAAAGGGAGCGCAGGCGGGUAUGCAAGUUGGGAGUGAAAUGCAUGGGCUCAACCCAUGAACUGCUUUCAAAACUGUGUAUCUUGAGUAGUGCAGAGGUAGGCGGAAUUCCCGGUGUAGCGGUGGAAUGCGUAGAUAUCGGGAGGAACACCAGUGGCGAAGGCGGCCUACUGGGCACCAACUGACGCUGAGGCUCGAAAGUGUGGGUAGCAAACAGG